UUUCCUACGGGAGGCAGCAGUGGGGGAUAUUGCACAAUGGGGGGAACCCUGAUGCAGCGACGCCGCGUGGGUGAAGAAGCGCCUCGGCGCGUAAAGCCCUGUCAGCAGGGAAGAAAAUGACGGUACCUGAAGAAGAAGCACCGGCUAACUACGUGCCAGCAGCCGCGGUAAUACGUAGGGGGCAAGCGUUAUCCGGAUUUACUGGGUGUAAAGGGGGCGCAGACGGCGAGGCAAGCCAGGAGUGAAAGCCCGGGGCCCAACCCCGGGACGGCACUGGGAACUGCGUGGCUGGAGUGUGGGAGGGG
This 305-nucleotide ribosomal RNA is filed under the name uncultured bacterium. RNAcentral describes it as "bacterial SSU rRNA". It matches the Rfam family "Bacterial small subunit ribosomal RNA", at positions 335 to 657 of the family's 1533-position model. The record is from RNAcentral.